Molecule: ribosomal RNA, 252 nt
Filed under: uncultured bacterium
Lineage: Bacteria
Description: partial 16S ribosomal RNA
Rfam family: Bacterial small subunit ribosomal RNA
Source: RNAcentral
ACGUAGGGUGCAAGCGUUAAUCGGAAUUACUGGGCGUAAAGCGUGCGCAGGCGGUUUUGUAAGUUUGUCGUGAAAGCCCCGGGCUCAACCUGGGAAUGGCGAUGAAGACUGCAAGGCUUGAAUCUGGCAGAGGGGGGUAGAAUUCCACGUGUAGCAGUGAAAUGCGUAGAGAUGUGGAGGAACACCGAUGGCGAAGGCAGCCCCCUGGGUCAAGAUUGACGCUCAUGCACGAAAGCGUGGGGAGCAAACAGG